This 24-nucleotide non-coding RNA is filed under the name Arabidopsis thaliana (thale cress). Lineage: Eukaryota; Viridiplantae; Streptophyta; Magnoliopsida; Brassicales; Brassicaceae. The record is from RNAcentral.
AAGGCCCACCUAUUUAGGCGGGUA